GCUGGGAGUGGUAGCACUGCACCUGUAGUCCCAGCUACUCCGGAGGCUGAGGCACCAGGAUCACUUGAGCCCAGGAGUUCUGGGCUGUUGUCUGUUGUGCCCAUCAGGUGUCUGCACUAAGUCUGGCAUCAAUUUGGUGACCUCCCAGGAGUGGGGAACCACCAGGUUGCCUGAGGAGUGAACCCACCCAGGUUGGAAAUGGGGCAGGUCAAAAACUCCCCUACUGAUCGAUACUGAGAUCUACCCUGUGACUAGCCACUGCACUCCAGACCGGGCAGCAUAGGAAGACCCCAUCUCU
This 298-nucleotide signal recognition particle RNA is filed under the name Prolemur simus (greater bamboo lemur). Its description in RNAcentral is "Metazoan signal recognition particle RNA (ENSPSMG00000011595.1)". It matches the Rfam family "Metazoan signal recognition particle RNA". From Rfam's summary of the family: The signal recognition particle (SRP) is a universally conserved ribonucleoprotein. The record is from RNAcentral. Lineage: Eukaryota; Metazoa; Chordata; Mammalia; Primates; Lemuridae.